RNAcentral lists this ribosomal RNA (465 nucleotides) under uncultured Klebsiella sp. Its description in RNAcentral is "bacterial SSU rRNA". It matches the Rfam family "Bacterial small subunit ribosomal RNA", at positions 338 to 795 of the family's 1533-position model. Lineage: Bacteria; Pseudomonadati; Pseudomonadota; Gammaproteobacteria; Enterobacterales; Enterobacteriaceae. The record is from RNAcentral.
CCUACGGGCGGCUGCAGUGGGGAAUAGUGCACAAUGGGCGCAAGCCUGAUGCAGCCAUGCCGCGUGUGUGAAGAAGGCCUUCGGGUUGUAAAGCACUUUCAGCGGGGAGGAAGGCGGUGAGGUUAAUAACCUCAUCGAUUGACGUUACCCGCAGAAGAAGCACCGGCUAACUCCGUGCCAGCAGCCGCGGUAAUACGGAGGGUGCAAGCGUUAAUCGGAAUUACUGGGCGUAAAGCGCACGCAGGCGGUCUGUCAAGUCGGAUGUGAAAUCCCCGGGCUCAACCUGGGAACUGCAUUCGAAACUGGCAGGCUAGAGUCUUGUAGAGGGGGGUAGAAUUCCAGGUGUAGCGGUGAAAUGCGUAGAGAUCUGGAGGAAUACCGGUGGCGAAGGCGGCCCCCUGGACAAAGACUGACGCUCAGGUGCGAAAGCGUGGGGAGCAAACAGGAUUAGAUACCCGAGUAGUC